Molecule: small nucleolar RNA, 79 nt
Organism: Amaranthus tricolor (Joseph's coat)
Lineage: Eukaryota; Viridiplantae; Streptophyta; Magnoliopsida; Caryophyllales; Amaranthaceae
Product: small nucleolar RNA J33
Exons: 1
Source: RefSeq, a predicted model, not a curated record
CGGUUAGAGGGAUGAUGUAUUAUUAUCGUGCCCUCAAGAUGUUAGCUUUCCUUGAUUCUGCAUCUGAGAUGGAUAUUCG